AGUGAACGCUGGCGGUAGGCCUAACACAUGCAAGUCGAACGGCAGCACAGUAAGAGCUUGCUCUUACGGGUGGCGAGUGGCGGACGGGUGAGGAAUACAUCGGAAUCUACUUUUUCGUGGGGGAUAACGUAGGGAAACUUACGCUAAUACCGCAUACGACCUACGGGUGAAAGCAGGGGAUCUUCGGACCUUGCGCGAUUGAAUGAGCCGAUGUCGGAUUAGCUAGUUGGCGGGGUAAAGGCCCACCAAGGCGACGAUCCGUAGCUGGUCUGAGAGGAUGAUCAGCCACACUGGAACUGAGACACGGUCCAGACUCCUACGGGAGGCAGCAGUGGGGAAUAUUGGAAAAUGGGCGCAAGCAUGAUCCAGCCAUACCGCGUGGGUGAAGAAGGCCUUCGGGUUGUAAAGCCCUUUUGUUGGGAAAGAAAAGCAGCAGGUUAAUACCCCGCUGUUCUGACGGUACCCAAAGAAUAAGCACCGGCUAACUUCGUG
Molecule: ribosomal RNA, 492 nt
Filed under: uncultured bacterium
Lineage: Bacteria
Description: partial 16S ribosomal RNA
Rfam family: Bacterial small subunit ribosomal RNA
Source: RNAcentral